CCCCUCUCAGGGUCGCACCUGGAGAGUUUCCAGUACCUCUAUCAGUCUCGACUACAGGAGGGAGAGUCAAGCAGAGGUCUAUCCAUUCCAUUCCUAGCUUGGCCAGUGGCUAGAGAGUGGAAGGCAAUCUGCUACAAGU
Small nucleolar RNA from Tachyglossus aculeatus (Australian echidna), 139 nucleotides. The record is from RefSeq and is a predicted model, not a curated record. NCBI's taxonomy places the organism in Eukaryota, Metazoa, Chordata, Mammalia, Monotremata, Tachyglossidae.